This 468-nucleotide ribosomal RNA is filed under the name uncultured bacterium. RNAcentral's name for it is "partial 16S ribosomal RNA". It matches the Rfam family "Bacterial small subunit ribosomal RNA", at positions 28 to 507 of the family's 1533-position model. The record is from RNAcentral.
GAUGAACGCUGGCGGCGUGCUUAACACAUGCAAGUCGAACGGAAAGGCCCAAGCUUGCUUGGGUACUCGAGUGGCGAACGGGUGAGUAACACGUGGGUGAUCUGCCCUGCACUUCGGGAUAAGCCUGGGAAACUGGGUCUAAUACCGGAUAGGACGAUGGUUUGGAUGCCAUUGUGGAAAGUUUUUUCGUUGUGGGAUGAGCUCGCGGCCUAUCAGCUUGUUGGGGGGGUAAUGGCGUACCAAGGCGUCGACGGGGAGCCGGCCUGAGAGGGGGUACGGCCACAUUGGGACUGAGAGACGGGCCAGAGUCCUACGGGAGGCAGCAGGGGGGAAUAUUGUACAAUGGGAGCAAGCGUGAUGCAGCGACGCCGCGUGGGGGAUGAGGGCUUUCGGGUGGUAAACUCCUCUCGCGAGGGACGCAGCGCUUUUGUGACGGUACCUGGAGAAGAAGCACCGGCUAACUACGUG